GAUGAACGCUGGCGGCGUGCUUAACACAUGCAAGUCGAACGGAAAGGCCUCUUUCGGGGGGUACUCGAGUGGCGAACGGGUGAGUAACACGUGAGUAACCUGCCCUUAACUUUGGGAUAACUUCAGGAAACUGCGGCUAUUACCGAUUAGGAGCUCCUGCUGCAGGGUGGGGGUUUGAGAGUUUCGGCGGUUGGGGAUGGCCUCGCGGCGUAUCCGCUUUGUGGUGGGGUAGUGGCUUACCAACGCUUUGCCGGGUAGCCGGCCUGAGAGGGUGACAGGCGACACUGGGACUGAGAGAAGGCCGCGGUGCGGACGGGAGGAAGCAGGGGGGAAGACUGAACAAGGGGUGGAGGGCGGGUGCAGCAAGGCUGUGGGCGGGAUGACGGCCUUCGGGUUGGAAAACGCUUGCGCUCAUGACGAAGCUUUGUGUGACGGUAGUGGGUAAAGAAGCACCGGCUAACUACGUG
RNAcentral lists this ribosomal RNA (467 nucleotides) under uncultured bacterium. RNAcentral's name for it is "partial 16S ribosomal RNA". It matches the Rfam family "Bacterial small subunit ribosomal RNA", at positions 28 to 507 of the family's 1533-position model. The record is from RNAcentral.